CAGGGAGACAACAAAAUGUUUAAUAUUAUUAUUUUGUCACCUUAGGUCGAUCGGUAUCUCACGUUCUUAAUUCGUUAAGAAUUUCAUUUCCUAAGUUUUUCUAGGUCACACCCAUUAUUUUUCCUGGGCCAUUAGCUCAGGUGGUUAGAGCGCACCCCUGAUAAGGGUGAGGUCCCUGGUUCAAGUCCAGGAUGGCCCAUAUCUCUAUGUUGGGGGUAUAGCUCAGUUGGUAGAGCGCCUGCUUUGCAAGCAGGAUGUCAGCGGUUCGAGUCCGCUUACCUCCACUGAUUACCACCUCUUCCAUAACCGGUAGAAAGGAAAUGUUUUGAGUUGUGAUCAUUAUUCUGAACGAAUCUAGCUUCCUAAUGAAUCAUUAAGAUGCUGGACUCAUUGAAUUAAUUUCAUUGUUUUCAGAGAACCUUGACAACUGCAUAGAUUAUUUUAAAGACAAUAAGCAUCUUUAAUGAUGCAGAUUUAUUAUUUGUGCGAAUGCAUUAAUAACAAUUCUAUUAAGCUGAUGCUUCAAUUUUGAAGUUAUU
This 539-nucleotide transfer RNA is filed under the name uncultured cyanobacterium. Its description in RNAcentral is "partial 16S-23S ribosomal RNA intergenic spacer". The stretch from base 212 to 284 matches the Rfam family "tRNA". The record is from RNAcentral. Lineage: Bacteria; Bacillati; Cyanobacteriota.